UCGCUACUACCGAUUGAAUGGCUUAGUGAGCUUCAGGGAUUGGUAAAUUUGGUUGGGUUUCCUUCCUUUUUUACCGAGAACUGAAUCAAACUUGAUCAUUUAGAGGAAGUAA
Molecule: ribosomal RNA, 112 nt
Filed under: uncultured eukaryote
Lineage: Eukaryota
Description: partial small subunit ribosomal RNA
Rfam family: Eukaryotic small subunit ribosomal RNA
Source: RNAcentral